Long non-coding RNA from Ochotona curzoniae (black-lipped pika), 465 nucleotides. RefSeq lists it as uncharacterized. The transcript has 3 exons. NCBI's taxonomy places the organism in Eukaryota, Metazoa, Chordata, Mammalia, Lagomorpha, Ochotonidae. The record is from RefSeq and is a predicted model, not a curated record.
UACAGGAGCUGGGGCCGUCCCAGGCGAUGACCCCUGUCCUCAAUGUUGACAUUCUGGGAAUACAGACAUGGAUGCUUAUAAACCACACAGCACACCUGUGGCUCUUCUUAGGCUCUGGCCAGCAGGCUAGGGGGCUGCACUGUCAUUCCCAGAGUUGCUGAGAUUCUUACUUUUUGUAAAAGAUGCAGCAGCAGCUUCGAAUCUGAGGAGGCCUUUAACUUCUCUUCUAGGCUCUAUGUGGAGAGAGAGAGCGAGAGAGACAGGAAAUCUCAAGGACAUGUUCUUGUAUUUUCAAGAAUGUAUCGCACACUGGUCACAAAUGGAAGUCACAGCCACAGCCUGACUUUGAGGUGCCAAGGGAUCCACUGGGACCUGUCGCCCCUGCCGGAGGGUCUGUCAGAAGAUCAGGUUUUGGCGAGUCUGGCUGCUGGUACAGCUGAGGUAGGAGUGGGUGUUUUCUGUUCC